UAGGGAAUAUUGCGCAAUGGGCGAAAGCCUGACGCAGCAACGCCGCGUGAGUGAGGAAGGCCUUCGGGUUGUAAAGCUCUGUCAGGGUGGAAAAAUGGCUUUGGGUCUAAUAGGCCUAAAGUUUGAUGGUACACCCAGAGGAAGCACCGGCUAACUUCGUGCCAGCAGCCGCGGUAAUACGAAGGGUGCGAGCGUUGUUCGGAUUUAUUGGGCGUAAAGAGCACGUAGGCGGAUUUAUAAGUCAGGUGUGAAAUCUCGGAGCUCAACUUCGAAACUGCGCCUGAAACUGUAAAUCUAGAAUAUUGGAGGGGGAAGAGGAAUUUCGCAUGUAGGGGUAAAAUCCGUAGAGAUGCGAAGGAACACCAGUGGCGAAGGCGUCUUCCUGGCCGAUAAUUGACGCUGAGGUGCGAAAGCGUGGGUAGCAAACAGG
Molecule: ribosomal RNA, 430 nt
Filed under: uncultured bacterium
Lineage: Bacteria
Description: bacterial SSU rRNA
Rfam family: Bacterial small subunit ribosomal RNA
Source: RNAcentral